RNAcentral lists this long non-coding RNA (9238 nucleotides) under Setaria viridis. RNAcentral's name for it is "long non-coding RNA (SVIR_LNC010289)". The record is from RNAcentral. Lineage: Eukaryota; Viridiplantae; Streptophyta; Magnoliopsida; Poales; Poaceae.
UCGCUUUCUAGCUCACGCCUGCGUGCAAGCCUCCCUCGUGCCAUGACCCUUGACCGCCAGUGCAGCACCCACCCUUGGAUGCUCGCCUACCUCGCGUGCGAGUCACGCCCUCGCUGCGACCGACAGAUGCACGCCGCAUGGCCCCGAGUACGCGAAUCGGAGAUCAGCAGUCGUCCGUCCUACAUGGGCUCGCCCCUAGAACCCUAGUCCUCAAGCUAUAAAGCUUCACAGCAGCCACACCCUCUCCAUUGUUGGGAUACGAGGUAGGCUACGCUAGCGCAAAUCAGAAUUUCUACCGCGUAAAACCAGGAAUAACUGCCGUAUAAGGAUCACGGGAUUACCACUCGACGCACUACUGGUGCGGAAGAUGUAGAUAUGCGUCGAUGCAGUGAAGACGAUCACGUAGUCGUACGUAGUCGAUCAACGUAGUCGUACGUAGUCGAUCACGUCCAGCAGCUUCUCAGCAGCUCGCCCACGUGCAACAAGAUCGCCUCCGGUGCCGCGGCUCGUCGGCGGCUCGUCGUGGCUCGUCGGCGGCUUGUCCAAGUGCUGCAGGCACAACACCUCCAAGGUAUCCACACGUGCAGGGAGGAAGCGUCGCAAGCCGGACUGCUAGAUCCGCGAGUUGCAACAGGCGAGGGCGUGGGAGGCGCGGCAGGUGUGUUUCGCCAAAAAGGUGUAAACCCUAGGGCGCCCCCACCCCUCUAUUUAUAGAGGUUCCUGACGGGCCUCUGGGUCCGAGGCCCAUUAGUACUUCUAAACCUAAUCCAACUCGGAUCAGAUCCGAAUUUGGGCUUCCAGCCCCUUAAGUGUGUGACCCUAUGGGUUCGGAUACGUAUAGACAUGGCCCGAGUACUCCUAUUCGGCCCAAUAGUCGGUAGCGGCCUCUAGCAAGAUGUGCCAACUCCUAUACGCACACGAAGAUCAUAUCAGACGAACCAUCACAACAUAAUAUACAUGCUAUUCCCUUUGCCUCACGAUAUUUGGUCUAGCUUCAAGCCGACCGCUCUUUCUCGAUCCUGUGAUUCGGAAUCCCUUUGUAGGUUAACUCUUAACCGUACGUAGCAUAGCCAUGCAUUUUCGGAUCCGAUCACUCGAGGGGCCCAGAGAUAUCACUCUCAAUCAGAGAGGGGCAAAUCCCAUCUUGAUUGACCAUGUCUCAUAGCAUGCUUCUUGACAAACCCGAAAGCUACCUUUAUAACUACCUUGUUACGGCGUAGCGUUUGAUAGCCCCUAAGUAGGUCGAUCCACAUCUAGAAUACAUGCGACAAUCUCAGGUCUAAGGACAAAGCGUAUAUGUUGUUUAAAGAGAGAACUACUUCUCGUGUUGGGUCAGUCCCAGCACAUGUCUCCACAUGUGUCCACAUUAUUAGUUCAACAUCUCCAUGUCCAUGACUUGUGAAACAAAGUCAUCAACUAAUAUAUGUGCUAGUCUAAUAUUCAUGUGUGUCCUCACAUGAACUCCGACUAGGGACAACUUUAGAAUAACCAUACAAGUAAAGAGUUUCACAUACAAUUCACAUAAUUGCAAAUCAAUUCAAGUAGCCUUUAAUGGAUAUUCAAUGAACACAAUAUACAAAUCAUGGAUACAAAUGGAAUAUCAUCAUCUCUAUGAUUGCCUCUAGGGCAUACCUCCAACAGUAUCCUACUUGCACUAGAGUCAAUCUAGAAGGUACCUAAUACCCAUAGCUCUUACAUGCGCAUCAUGCUUAGCCUGCGGGAGUGGUUUUGUCAACGGAUCAGAAAUGUUCAGAUCCAUGUGUAUUUUGCAUAUCUUGAUCUCACCCCGGUUAACGAAGUCUCGAAUGAGAUGAAAUCGCCGCAUUACGUGUUUGUUCUUCUGGUGGUUCCUUGGCUCCUUUGCUUGCGCAAUUGCCCCAUUAUUAUCACAGUAGAGAUUCAAUGGGCUGGACGCAUUCGGGAACACACCAAGCUCAAUGAGGAAAUUCCUUAUCCAAACACCUUCCUUCGCGGCUUCCGAAGCCGCGAUGUACUCGGCUUCUGUCGUAGAAUCGGCCACCGUCUCCUGCUUGGAACUCUUCCAACUAACAGAACCACCAUUCAGUGUGAACACAAAUCCUGAUUGUGACUUUGAAUCAUCUCUGUCGGUUUGGAAACUAGCAUCGGUGUAACCUGUUACAACGAGCUCCUCCUCACCUCCAUAGACGAGGAACAUAUCUUUAGUCCUUCUCAAGUACUUAAGAAUGUUUUUCACCGCUGUCCAGUGACUCUCACCUGGAUCAGAUUGGUGUCUGCUUGUCAUACUUAGCGCAUAUGAAAUAUCUGGGCGAGUACUUAUCAUUGCAUACAUGAUAGAUCCAAUAGCCGAGGCAUAUGGCACUCUACUCAUGUGAUCCCGCUCAUCAGCAGUCGAAGGACACUGAGUCUUGUUGAGAUGUAUGCCAUGUGACAUAGGCAAGAACCCUUUCUUUGCCUCUUCCAUGCUGAACCGCUUCAACACUUUGUCAAUGUAAGUAUCUUGGCUUAAACCUAUAAGCCUUCUCGAUCUAUCUCUAUAGAUCUUAAUGCCCAGAAUAUAUGCCGCUUCCCCUAAGUCCUUCAUCGAAAAACUAUUUUUCAGUGAAGUCUUUACGGACUCAAGCAUAGGAAUGUUAUUUCCAAUCAGUAAUAUGUCAUCCACAUAUAAGAUUAGAAAUACUACAGAGCUCCCACUAACCUUCUUGUAAACACAAGACUCUUCGUCGUUCUUGGUGAAGUCAAACCCUUUGACCACUUCAUCAAAACGAAUGUUCCAACUCCUAGAUGCUUGCUUCAAUCCAUAAAUGGAUCUCUCAAGCUUGCAUACCUUUCCAGCAUUUUUCGGAUCGACAAAACCCUCGGGCUGUAUCAUAUACACGUCCUCAGCUAGGUUUCCAUUCAGGAAAGCUGUCUUGACAUCCAUCUGCCAUAUCUCAUAGUCGAAAUAUGCAGUUAUAGCCAGAAUAAUCCGAAUGGACUUAAGCAUCACUACGGGCGAGAAGGUCUCGUCGUAGUCAACUCCUUGAACUUGUCGAAAACCUUUUGCGACAAGUCGUGCUUUAUAGAUGUGAACAUUUCCAUCCAUGUCCUUUUUCUUCUUAUAGAUCCACUUGCACUCUAUGGCUUUAACACCAUCAGGCGGGUCAACCAAGUUCCAAACUUGAUUGUCUCCCAUGGACUCUAUUUCGGAUUGCAUGGCACUCUGCCAUUUUUCGGAGUCUGGGUCCAUCAUUGCUUCUGCAUAUGUCGCAGGCUCAUCAUUGUCCAACAAUAAUAUUUCCCGCAUUUCGCGGAGCCUUGCUAACCUUCGUGGUUGUGGCGGUGCUUCUUUUGCCAUGGGUAUCUCAACUUGUUCUGCUACAUUAGCAUCACUCAUUGGUUCUUGCCCGAUCGGCUCAUCUUGAACUUCUUCAAGAUGCACUGUCUUUCCACUCUUUUCUCCUUUGAGAAACUCUUUCUCUAGGAAAACCCCGUUCUGAGCGACAAACACUUUGCCUUCUGAUCGGUUGUAGAAAUAAUAUCCCAAAGUUUCCUUUGGAUAUCCCACAAAAAUGCACUUAUCCAACUUGGGUGUGAUCUUGUCCGACUGAAGUCGCUUGACGAAGACUUCACAUCCCCAAAUCUUUAGAAAAGACAAACUAGGAACCUUUCCAGUCCAUAUCUCAUAUGGUGUCUUAACUACGGAUUUAGAUGGUACCCUAUUAAGUGUGAAAGCUGCUGUUUCUAGAGCGUAUCCCCAAAAUGACAACGGUAGGUCCGACUGGCUCAUCAUUGAUCGAACCAUGUCUAACAAAGUUCGAUUACAUCGCUCGGAUACACCGUUUCUCUGAGGUGUUCCAGGCGGCGUAAGUUGUGGAACAAUUCCGCAACUCUUUAGAUGAUUGCUAAACUCGUGGCUCAAAUACUCGCCUCCACGAUCAGAUCGUAAGGCCUUAAUUUUCUUGCCACGCUGAUUUUCAACUUCAUUCUGAAAUUCCUUGAACUUUUCAAAGGUUUCAGACUUGUGCCUCAUCAAGUAGACAUAGCCAUAUCUACUAAAAUCAUCAGUGAAAGUUAUGAAGUAUUGGAAUCCUCCUCUAGCUGUCGUGCUCAUUGGUUCGCAUACAUCACUAUGUACAAGUUCCAACAAGUCUACUGCUCUCUCAGGAAAUCCUGUGAAAGGCGUCUUGGUGAUCUUGCCUAGCAAGCAAGCCUCACAUGUCUCGUAUGAUUCAAAAUCAAACGAAGUUAGAAGUCCAUCAGAAUGGAGCUUCUUCAUGCGCUUUUCACUUAUAUGACCCAAACGACAAUGCCACAAGUAGGUAGGACUCAAAUCAUUAGGCCGAGGCCUUUUAGCACUUACAUUACAGACAGGUGAACCAUCAAGAUUUAAAACAAAUAAUCCAUUCACAAUGGGUGCAAAAGCCAUAAACAUAUUAUUCUUAGAGAUCACACAACCAUUGUUUUCACUCGCAAAUGAAUAACCAUCCUUCAUCAAGCAUGAAGGAGACAAAAUGUUUCGACUUAAACUAGGAACAAAAUAAGAAUUAUUCAACUCCAUAAUAAAUCCUGACGGGAGGUGGAGUUGCAUCGUCCCGACGGUCAACGCAGCAACUCUUGCAUUAUUGCCCACGCGGAAAUCAACUUCUCUUCUUUCCACGCUUCUACUUCUUAUCAUUCCCUGCAUCGAAUUGCAAAUAUGAGCAACCGAUCCGGUAUCAAAUACCCAAGAAUUAAUAAUUGUAUCAGCCAGAAAUAUGUUGUCUAUAACAUUAACAACAAGCGUACCUGAGGUAGAAGUACUCUUACCUCCGCCAUUCUUCAAGGAAGCUAGGUACUGCUUACAGUUUCUCUUCCAGUGACCAAGUUCAUGACAGUAAAAGCACUCUUUGUCUGGAACAGGUCCAGGUCCAGCUUUAACCUUGGGCGGUGGGUUUGGCUUGGACGUUCCAGCCUUGCCCUUCUUCUUCCAAGAAUUUCCCUUCUUCUUAAAGCUAGGCUUGUUUUGUAUAGCCAUCACAUGGCUGGUACUAGCGCUUUUCUUGAUGUCAGCCUCUGCUGUUUUAAGCAUGCCACACAGCUCAUUCAAACCCUUCUCCGUCCCAUGCAUAUGGUAGUUCGAGAUGAAGUUCCCAUAGCUAGGCGGAAGAGACGAAAGAAUGAAAUCAGUGGCCAACUCUUGGCCCAGUGGGAAGCCCAGCUUCUCCAACCGUUGAGUGUAACCAACCAUCUUGAUUACGUGUGGUCCUACUGCUGCGCCUUCUGCUAGCUUGCUCUCAACAAAGGCCUUAGACACAUUGAACCUUUCAGUCCUGGCCUGUGUUUGGAACAUGUCUCUAAGCGCCACGAUCAUAUCGUGCGCCUCAUGGUUUGUUUCAAACUGCAUCUGCAGCUCGGGUUCAAUGCAAGCAAGCAUAAGGCAGCUUACUUCGAGGUUAGCAUCACAUGCUUUCUUGUAAGCAUUCUUAGCAGCAGCGGGUGCAUCAUCAGCAGGUUCUUCUGGUAGUGGGUUGUCUAGAACAUCUUCCUUUUUCUCAGCCCUGAGAACAAUUCUCAGGUUACGGAUCCAAUCCGAGUAAUUUGUUCCAUUCAACUUGUCCUUCUCAAGGACCGAACGCAAAGCAAACGGUGUAGUGCUGCUAGGUGCCAUUUAAUCUACAACAAAGUAAUGCAAAAUACACUAAGACAAACGUAUCCAUGAUAGAGUAAAUCAUAUUAAACUAUUUUAACAGAAUCUACUCCCACUAAAAUCAAUAUCCCUCUAUUGAAACUUAGUGAUUCAGGAUCCACAACUAACAAGUCUACUAGUGAGCUUUAGCAUCACCGCUAGCAAACGAGGUAGAUCGGUAAGCAACUUUUGCUAAUCAUAUCACAUAUGACUCCUGUUGUUGGGUGACAUCUCUAUGUCUCGGCGCCCAACCUUUAUGCCCCAAGGUCCUUAACCGUUAAGACAACCUUGUUAAGAAAACCAACUCUUAUGCGUGUAAGUGUCCGACACAAACCCGUCUAGUCAAGGAAAACUAGUGGCACCCUAAUUUCAUAGACCCACCACUAAUUGUACAAGACAUGGGACGGUGCAAGUUUUAGUUGGGAGGGCAUACUAACUUAAACUUUGUGAGGGAUUGUUCUACUUCUAACAUCACAGCAUGCAGAAAGUAAAACAUAAACAGAAUAGCAUUCACACAGUUGUGACACAGUAUGGCCCAUUUUCAUAUGGCGAUCUCCAUCUCCAUAGAAUCUGUUCACCAUGGUGAUCUCCAUCUCCAUGUUCCAUGUGCGCCAUCCUUCUAGUGAUGAGUCCUCCAAGAACUAGAACAUGCUAUUGCGCCUAAUAGCUAGUAAGGAAGCUAGUAAUGAAGAUUACAUAGUUGCUUGGAUCAUCACAGAUUGGUACGCAGACCAUUAAAUACAUUAAGGUGACAACACUUAUGGCUCCUGUCGUGUUGCCGUACGCGGGACACGCAGGUCACGAAUGAGUUACAAACAUGCAUCACAUACACAAAGGGGCCAUACUGAUCACAAGAUACAUACAUCUUGCAAAACAGAGUUAGGCGUUCUAACGUUCCAAACUUCAGAGGCCCGAAACUCCAUCUUAGAGGCCGAAUUUGGGAAAUCUAAUCACGUGUAACUUUUUCUGUAGAUCAAUUUUCAUAUACAAUUCGCCUCGAUCCGAGAUCGUACCGAAAAGUUACGGCUGUUUUACCGAAGCACAUGCACACGGCAAAAUUCCGACCCCGGUAGUAGAUCCCAUCUACUAUUGCACAUCUCAUGCGCCUGGCGUAUGAACCUGGAUUUCGAUUCGACCAAUCACAUUGAUCUUUGCUCACUACAACUGGAAUUACGUGUAUCACUUAACUCCGAUGGCGGAAACCGACCGGUAGGAGUAUGUCGUUACACUACCAUUGCAGCAAGGGCACGAAACCAGGACAUAGAUCAAACGGAAAACUCGCAUAUCUCCAUAUGCACACAUCCCGAAUCCAAAACUAAGCAGCUACGGCUCUGAUACCACUGUUGGGAUACGAGGUAGGCUACGCUAGCGCAAAUCAGAAUUUCUACCGCGUAAAACCAAGAAUAACUGCCGUAUAAGGAUCACGGGAUUACCACUCGACGCACUACUGGUGCGGAAGAUGUAGAUAUGCGUCGAUGCAGUGAAGACGAUCACGUAGUCGUACGUAGUCGAUCAACGUAGUCGUACGUAGUCGAUCACGUCCAGCAGCUUCUCAGCAGCUCGCCCACGUGCAACAAGAUCGCCUCCGGUGCCGCGGCUCGUCGGCGGCUCGUCGUGGCUCGUCGGCGGCUCAUCGGCGGCUCGUCCAAGUGCUGCAGGCGCAACACCUCCAAGGUAUCCACACGUGCAGGGAGGAAGCGUCGCAAGCCGAACUGCUAGAUCCGCGAGUUGCAACAGGCGAGGGCGUGGGAGGCGCGGCAGGUGUGUUUCGCCAAAAAGGUGUAAACCCUAGGGCGCCCCCACCCCUCUAUUUAUAGAGGUUCCUGACGGGCCUCUAGGUCCGAGGCCCAUUAGUACUUCUAAACCUAAUCCAACUCGGAUCAGAUCCGAAUUUGGGCUUCCAGCCCCUUAAGUGUGUGACCCUAUGGGUUCGGAUACGUAUAGACAUGGCCCGAGUACUCCUAUUCGGCCCAAUAGUCGGUAGCGGCCUCUAGCAAGACGUGCCAACUCCUAUACGCACACGAAGAUCAUAUCAGACGAACCAUCACAACAUAAAAUAUACAUGCUAUUCCCUUUGCCUCACGAUAUUUGGUCUAGCUUCAAGCCGACUGCUCUUUCUCGAUCCUGUGAUUCGGAAUCCCUUUGUAGGUUAACUCUUAACCGUACGUAGCAUGGCCAUGCAUUUUCGGAUCCGAUCACUCGAGGGGCCCAGAGAUAUCACUCUCAAUCAGAGAGGGGCAAAUCCCAUCUUGAUUGACCAUAUCUCAUAGCAUGCUUCUUGACAAACCCGAAAGCUACCUUUAUAACUACCCUGUUACGGCGUAGCGUUUGAUAGCCCCUAAGUAGGUCGAUCCACAUCUAGAAUACAUGCGACAAUCUCAGGUCUAAGGACAAAGCGUAUAUGUUGUUUAAAGAGAGAACUACUUCUCGUGUUGGGUCAGUCCCAGCACAUGUCUCCACAUGUGUCCACAUUAUUAGUUCAACAUCUCCAUGUCCAUGACUUGUGAAACAAAGUCAUCAACUAAUACAUGUGCUAGUCUAAUAUUCAUGUGUGUCCUCACAUGAACUCCGACUAGGGACAACUUUAGAAUAACCAUACAAGUAAAGAGUUUCACAUACAAUUCACAUAAUUGCAAAUCAAUUCAAGUAGCCUUUAAUGGAUAUUCAAUGAACACAAUAUACAAAUCAUGGAUACAAAUGGAAUAUCAUCAUCUCUAUGAUUGCCUCUAGGGCAUACCUCCAACAUCCAUCUCUCCCAAGCCACCACCGCAACCUUCCUGCUCUCUUUCUCCCUUCUCUGUUCUUCCUUCACGGUGAAGCAGUUGCUCUGUUCUUUUCUCCUUCCACCGCAAGCUACUUCCUACCCUUCUCCAAUCGAACAGCAAGAAGCCUAGCAGCAGCACCAGUACAUGGCGCCCCCUCCAAUCCUCUCUCUCUCCCUCGAAUCCAAGUAGCAGCUGCUCCUUUCUUUUCUCUCCUUUUUCUAAUCAGAGCAGAGCAAGAACAGACUAGCUCCAACCCAAGCACAAGCCGCCGCCCCUGCCCUUGAACUGUGGCAUGCUGGUGGGAGCUCGCCCAGUGGGCCGUUCAUCCCUCGAUGUCGUCAACCGCCGGUCGAGGCUUGUGCUAGCGACGAAAGGCUAUGGCUUUUGCCUCGUCUAGCACCCAGAGAGCCAGCACGGGCAUGCAGGCUGCAGCAGCGCCACGCUGUCGCCAGCCACAAACCGGAGGAACCAAAGGUGGUGGCUGGAGCGAGGAGCCGGACGCACAAAGGAAGACGUCGUCCGCAAGCUCAUUAUUUAUUUUUGCGUCACAUCUUGUUUAUGUUUGUAGACCCGAGCUGCGAUGAUCGAUGUUUUACCUUUCUUGAUUCAGUCCUGAUAGACUUGUACCGGCAUGUGCCGAAGAUAUGUACUCAUUACUUAUGUUAUUUAUGAUAUCUGUACUCUAUUGUUGCUAUAUAUUUCUGUGUUGGUAUGGAUUUUUACUACAUGAGAUAGGGAUUCGCACGUGAUAGACUUCCUCAGACUAUCACCGAGGUGCGUAGGCUUGAAUUCUCAGAAUUGGAAAUUCGGGUCUGUUUCAGCUAGUAUCAGAGCCAUACUUGACCGU